Long non-coding RNA from Passer domesticus (house sparrow), 329 nucleotides. RefSeq lists it as uncharacterized. NCBI's taxonomy places the organism in Eukaryota, Metazoa, Chordata, Aves, Passeriformes, Passeridae. The record is from RefSeq and is a predicted model, not a curated record. The transcript is spliced from 3 exons.
AAGCAUGUGAGGUCACCUAAUUGAGAAAGAAGUUUUCUUACAGUGUUAACAUGCAUUUUUUGAACCCUGCAAACAUCUUGUCUUUUAGAAGAAUACAUCUGUAUAGAAUUGUGUCUGACAAGAAUUCCUGAAAUGCAUUCUUCUUCAUGUGAGCAGAUCUCUAGCUAACAAAGAAGUUGCAACUUCUUGGGUAAGGAAUUCACAAAAUAAACCCUACAUAGAUGGCAAGAAGGCAAUGGCAAUCCAUCAUCAUGUGAAUAAGAUUUCCAAACAACUUCUUACUUACUAAGGUGCAGCAGCCCAUAAUACUACAUUUCAUGGAUUCUCAA